Molecule: long non-coding RNA, 195 nt
Organism: Larimichthys crocea (large yellow croaker)
Lineage: Eukaryota; Metazoa; Chordata; Actinopteri; Sciaenidae
Exons: 3
Source: RefSeq, a predicted model, not a curated record
UUGUUGCAUCCCACAGGAGAAGUUUUGCCAUGAGAAGGCGCCAGAGAUUUUCAAGGAGCAGGUGAGACAAGCUCCUCCGGCGAUGGCGAGCACAGCCGAGCACCAGCCGAUGAAAAGGACCCCAGCGGUCCCUGCAAUCCUCCCUUUAAGAACAUGGUUAUCCCCUCCAGCCUUCGAACACUGUAUUCCUAUCAG